CACCCAACAGCUAGCCCCUCCAACCAAAAGUAACAAACCACUAUUAAUAACCCCAAAUACACUAAUGUUAACAUCAAACAAACCAUUUUUCCCCCUUAGUAUGGGCGACAGAAAAGGAACUGUGGCGCAAUAGAGAAAGUACCGCAAGGGAACGCUGAAAAAGAAAUGAAACAACCCAGUAAAGCCUAAAAAAGCAGAGAUUUUAACUCGUACCUUUUGCAUCAUGAUUUAGCUAGUAACCCCCAAGCAAAGAGAGCUUUAGUUUGAUUUCCCGAAACUAAGUGAGCUACUCCAAGACAGCCUAUUAAUAGGGCAAACCCGUCUCUGUGGCAAAAGAGUGGGAAGAGCUUUGAGUAGAGGUGACAGACCUACCGAACUUAGUUAUAGCUGGUUGCCUGAAAACUGGAUAGAAGUUCAGCCUCCCGGCUUCUUUCUUCACCUCCGUCUCAACCCUUCCUGAUACCCAAAGAAACCGUGAGAGUUAGUCAAAGGGGGUACAGCCCCUUUGAAACAAGACACAACUUUAGCAGUUGGGUAAAGAUCAUAAUAUUUAAAGGUAAAAUGUUCUGGUGGGCCUAAAAGCAGCCAACCCUACAGAAAGCGUUAAAGCUAAGACAUACCCCCUACCCCUCUUAUCCCGAUAAUUAAAUCUCAACCCCCUAGUCCUAUCAGGCCGCUCCAUGCAUACAUGGAAGUGACCAUGCUAAUAUGAGUAAUAAGAGAACAUUCGACUCUCUCCUCGCACACAUGUAAAUCGGAACGGACCCCCCACCGAAUAUUAACGGCCCCAAACAAAGAGGGCAUUGGAUGACAAAUCAGACAACCAGAAAAACACCCAAUAAAUUAACCGUUAAGCCCACACUGGUGUGCCUCUCAGGAAAGACUAAAAGAAAAAGAAGGAACUCGGCAAACACAUGAAGCCUCGCCUGUUUACCAAAAACAUCGCCUCUUGCAAAACUGAAAAUAUAAGAGGUCCCGCCUGCCCUGUGACUAUAAGUUUAACGGCCGCGGUAUUUUGACCGUGCGAAGGUAGCGCAAUCACUUGUCUUUUAAAUGGAGACCUGUAUGAAUGGCACAACGAGGGCUUGACUGUCUCCUUUUUCAAGUCAAUGAAAUUGAUCCCCCCGUGCAGAAGCGGGGAUAAGAACAUAAGACGAGAAGACCCUAUGGAGCUUUAGACGCCAAGAUAGAUCAUGUUAAUCACCCCUAAAUAAAGGACUAAACCAAAUGGGCCCUACCUCAAUGUCUUUGGUUGGGGCGACCGCGGGGAAACAAAAAACCCCCACGUGGAAUGGGUACACUUUCCUACAACUAAGAGCUCCCGCUCUAAUAAACAGAAUUUCUGACCAACAAGAUCCGGCAACGCCGAUCAACGAACCGAGUUACCCUAGGGAUAACAGCGCAAUCCCCUUUUAGAGCCCAUAUCGACAAGGGGGUUUACGACCUCGAUGUUGGAUCAGGACAUCCUAAUGGUGCAGCCGCUAUUAAGGGUUCGUUUGUUCAACGAUUAAAGUCCUACGUGAUCUGAGUUCAGACCGGAGUAAUCCAGGUCAGUUUCUAUCUAUGACAUGCUUUUUUCUAGUACGAAAGGACCGAAAAGAAGGGGCCCAUACUCAAGGUACGCCUCACCCCCACCUAAUGAAAACAACUAAAAUAAGCAAAAGGGCAUACCCUCAUGUCUAAGAAAAGGACAU
This 1694-nucleotide ribosomal RNA is filed under the name Percalates novemaculeata (Australian bass). RNAcentral describes it as "16S rRNA". The stretch from base 99 to 1615 matches the Rfam family "Bacterial large subunit ribosomal RNA". Lineage: Eukaryota; Metazoa; Chordata; Actinopteri; Centrarchiformes. The record is from RNAcentral.